UGUUAAAAUUUUCAUUCAUUUAUAUUGUUAAAAACUAGUGUGAUUGACAAAAAUAAUUAGACAGUGACAUGUGACGUGCCACGUGUACCUCAUGCUAACGUACACGGAUCAAUUUUUAACAACAGAAUUGGAUCAAAUGUUUAAUA
Molecule: microRNA precursor, 146 nt
Filed under: Gossypium hirsutum (cotton)
Lineage: Eukaryota; Viridiplantae; Streptophyta; Magnoliopsida; Malvales; Malvaceae
Description: MIR7502 microRNA precursor family
Rfam family: MIR7502 microRNA precursor family
Source: Rfam by way of RNAcentral